This 632-nucleotide long non-coding RNA is filed under the name Homo sapiens (human). Its description in RNAcentral is "HSALNT0204586". The record is from RNAcentral. Lineage: Eukaryota; Metazoa; Chordata; Mammalia; Primates; Hominidae.
ACACUAAUUCAGCUAAUGUGAUAGCUCAUGAAAUUUCAAAUGUAUAAUAAUUACUUGACAUAUUGAAGCAGAAAUAAUAUUUUAAGCAUAUUUUAUAUAUGAAAAUGACUUAAAUAUUAAGUGAUAAUUUUUAUUUCACAGGGAACACCUUCAUAUUUUCUUUUAAAUAAGUUUUGCCAGACAUGUUGACUUUAUUAAAAUACAGGCUAUAUGUAAUUAAAAUCAUAACUAGAUUUACCUUAUGAUGGUUGACAUCAUAAGUUUAGCAGUCUUGAGAAGACCAUUUAAUUGCAUUUAACCACACUCUCUUCAUUUAGAAAUGUGAAAAUAUCAUUAGGAAAAUAAUACUCUAUUAUUGUAGUUUGGAUUAAGAAAAAUCAACUGGGGAAACUACAUUGGAAACUGUUAUUCUGUAAACUGUGAAAAAUUAUUAUGACAUAUGUAUGUCACAUUCUAGCUCCCAGUUUCCUAAAAGACUGUCAGACUUUGUAUUUUGUAUUUUGUUCUUUUAUUUGUUUUUAUUGCCAUGUUGUAUAAGCAAUUGCAUGGGUGGCAGAAGUCAGUAGCAUAUAUCAACAGUUUCUUUCCAGUGACAUUUCUAAUGAAUUCUUUUCCCCAAGACCUAUUUAAGA